RNAcentral lists this ribosomal RNA (368 nucleotides) under uncultured organism. RNAcentral describes it as "bacterial SSU rRNA". It matches the Rfam family "Bacterial small subunit ribosomal RNA", at positions 526 to 896 of the family's 1533-position model. The record is from RNAcentral.
CGUAGGUGGCAAGCGUUGUCCGGAUUUAUUGGGUUUAAAGGGUGCGUAGGCGGCCCUGUAAGUCAGUGCUGAAAUAUCCCGGCUUAACCGGGAGGGUGGCAUUGAUACUGCAGGGCUUGAGUAAAGUUGAGGAUGGCGGAAUUGACGGUGUAGCGGUGAAAUGCUUAGAUAUCGUCAAGAACACCGAUAGUGAAGACAGCUAACUAAGCUUUAACUGACGCUGAGGCACGAAAGUGUGGGGAUCAAACAGGAUUAGAUACCCUGGUAGUCCACACUGUAAACGUUGAUUACUCGAUGUUGGCGAUACACAGUCAGCGUCUUAGCGCAAGCGAUAAGUAAUCCACCUGGGGAGUGCGCCGGCAACGGUG